Molecule: ribosomal RNA, 492 nt
Filed under: uncultured bacterium
Lineage: Bacteria
Description: partial 16S ribosomal RNA
Rfam family: Bacterial small subunit ribosomal RNA
Source: RNAcentral
AGUGAACGCUGGCGGUAGGCCUAACACAUGCAAGUCGAACGGCAGCACAGUAAGAGCUUGCUCUUACGGGUGGCGAGUGGCGGACGGGUGAGGAAUACAUCGGCAUCUACUUUUUCGUGGGGGAUAACGUAGGGAAACUUAUGCUAAUACCGCAUACGACCUACGGGUGAAAGCAGGGGAUCUUCGGACCUUGCGCGAUUGAAUGAGCCGAUGUCGGAUUAGCUAGUUGGCGGGGUAAAGGCCCACCAAGGCGACGAUCCGUAGCUGGUCUGAGAGGAUGAUCAGCCACACUGGAACUGAGACACGGUCCAGACUCCUACGGGAGGCAGCAGUGGGGAAUAUUGGACAAUGGGCGCAAGCCUGAUCCAGCCAUACCGCGUGGGUGAAGAAGGCCUUCGGGUUGUAAAGCCCUUUUGUUGGGAAAGAAAAGCAGCAGGUUAAUACCCCGCUGUUCUGACGGUACCCAAAGAAUAAGCACCGGCUAACUUCGUG